GACUUCCCGUUUGACCAGUAAGUGCAACAUGUGCAACUAGAGCUGGUGGGUCCACGAUUCAAAGAGAAAGUGCAAGAGCACGUCAUUUUCGCGGGAACAUCUCCCGGCAACUGGCAAUGUAACAACAGCUUUCUGCAGAGGAAAAUCUUUUUUAAGUCGUAUUAUGAAAAUGUUGGUAAAAACAUGGCAACGUAACUUUUUUUAGCACUAUACUGGACCUCCUUACGUUAGGCGAUGGCUUGCAGUGGAGUAAGAGAGGAAAACUUUAAAACAUACAAUAAUUGGAUUUUUAUGGCGGCUUCUAAGAACAGUCUGGAGAUUCCUGUGCUGCUGUGGACAUGAUAACUCUGACGUUCAGUUCUCAGUUGAAGAAACAGCGCCAUCUCUUGGUGUCAGCACUGUACGACCAUGGAAUUAUGGUGGAGGUAUUAUCAGGACAGUUUAGAACACUUGAAUCAAGAUUAAGAAACAACUUUAAAUUUAGCACUUAUAAGAUGGAGGAUUGGCCCCCUUGAAAUCAUUGUUGCCCCAGCCACAUCUGUUGCAAAUUCCUGAGAGGAGCCGAUGUCGAGGUGGGACAGAGUUACUGGCGCUCUCGCCCCAUGAAGCGAAGAAUUAUGAAGUAUGAAGAAGGAGCUCUGGAACUACGUUGGGUUUGGUUUGGUCCAUGCAAAGCAGCAUUAGAGCAUAAUCUUGUCUAUUUGAUGGUAAUAGGGAGCCGUGCCACGUGUUGUCACUAAGAUUUAAUUUGACCAACAGUGUUGAGAUUUCUGAUGUCAAAUUAAUUCAAUCUCUCAUUAAUUCCUGCUUCAUCGUGAGCAAGAAUAUCAGAGCUCAGCACACAAUUUUAUACCAAAGUUCAACGAGAAUAUUUAAGGCCAGUUAGUAAGUAUAUUUCUUCUCUUUCAAAGAAAAUAGUCCCAAAAGAAGCCAAAGCAUCAAGCUAUCAAAUUAUGCACAGACUGGAUGUAAAUAAAUACAUUAUUGGAGUAUUGUCUUACUUCAUCAAAGCAUAAUAUCUUACUUUUUGUGCCACUGCAUUUAAUAAAUAUCGUUCCUCACUGAUCAUUCAUUUGAAAACAUGAUAGUGGUGUCUGAUAGAAUCAUUCUUUACCAUAGAGUGGGUAUAGAAAAGAAUCACCCCCCUUUAAAAUAAUUACAUUUUGUUGCUUUGCAGC
This is a long non-coding RNA of Sinocyclocheilus anshuiensis, 1178 nucleotides long. RefSeq lists it as uncharacterized. The transcript has 4 exons. NCBI's taxonomy places the organism in Eukaryota, Metazoa, Chordata, Actinopteri, Cypriniformes, Cyprinidae. The record is from RefSeq and is a predicted model, not a curated record.